AUUGUUUUUUGUUAAGUAAAUGUGUUGGAAUGGACACUAUAUUUUACAUGAUUUUCUAGUUGAACCAGAAAACUAGUAGGCUUACUAGGGUAGAAGUUCCUUGGCUGAUGUUUGUGGAUAGUUUGAUGCAAGACAUUUGUUGCAAGAUAUUAUAAAACAUUGUCCAUUGACAUCAGUCAAUAUUAUAAUAUAUUGGUAACUCAACUGCUUAAAAAGAUUUUCUCUCAUGUGGAAUAGUUUUCUUUCCUUGUCAUUCUA
This 258-nucleotide unclassified non-coding RNA is filed under the name Hevea brasiliensis (rubber tree). The record is from RNAcentral. Lineage: Eukaryota; Viridiplantae; Streptophyta; Magnoliopsida; Malpighiales; Euphorbiaceae.